RNAcentral lists this ribosomal RNA (222 nucleotides) under uncultured bacterium. RNAcentral describes it as "partial 16S ribosomal RNA". It matches the Rfam family "Bacterial small subunit ribosomal RNA", at positions 524 to 743 of the family's 1533-position model. The record is from RNAcentral.
UACGAAGGGGGCUAGCGUUGUUCGGAAUUACUGGGCGUAAAGCGCACGUAGGCGGAUAUUUAAGUCAGGGGGUGAAAUCCCAGAGCUCAACUCUGGAACUGCCUUUGAUACUGGGUAUCUUGAGUAUGGAAGAGGUAAGUGGAAUUGCGAGUGUAGAGGUGAAAUUCGUAGAUAUUCGCAAGAACACCAGUGGCGAAGGCGGCUGACUGGGACAUGUAUUGA